UGAAAAGAACUGAAGCAUUUGGGCAUCAGUCUGCUGAUCAGGCCAAACAACACAAGACCAAAUUAAUCAACAUUACAGCAAAAGUGAGCUCCACUGGAGAAAAUGUUUUCGGUGGAUGGUAUAGCUAGCUACAAGGAAUCUAAAGCAGCCUGGAACAUGGCCACAAGGAAUCUCAGCAGUGAACUUGGGAAAAGGAAGUCUAACGUGGUGUGUAUUUCUUUGCUUCCAGGAAUGUAAGCACUGAUUUAUCAAAAUCUUAUCGCAAGAACAUUCUUAGUCAUAAACUUUUCACCCCAGAAUUCUCAGUAAAUCGUGUGUUUUAUAUUAUUGAGAACAUUGACAUGUUCUCAAUGGAAGAUGGGAAGACCCAUCCCAUCUUUGCUUGGGAUGGAUCUAUAGUACCUUGGUAAAAUUCCCUUUAUGGAGGCAGCCGGUAUUGUAUCAAUAAGAAUAUAAAUGCCUUGAGAGAUUUGUGCUUUAUAUAGUUAUUUUUGGUGUAGCUUAUUCUGGAGGAUCUGAGAGAUAAUGGAAUUGAGUCCUACCUUUACUAAUGGUAAGCUGUAUGUCUGAGCAAAUAACUUCAUAUUUUUCUUUCCUCGGACCACUAUUUGGUAAUUUGCAAUGAUAAUACUUUCUACACUGUGGACUUCUGUGAAACGAAAUAUAUUGCAUAUUACUGGCUGCACACAUUCUUGGUAGGCUGUAAUCAUUCAGAACAUUAGCUAGGUUCUGCUCAUAGAGUUUCAAAUCAUUUCUCAAUUUCAAUGAGCUUGCUUAUUAUCAGUUAACUUUUUUUUAAAAAAAGACACCCCUGUUUCUUUUAAUUUAGCCUCUAAAUAGUGGUGGAAUUUAAAGUGGUAUUCUAGUAAUAUGACUCUG
This 879-nucleotide long non-coding RNA is filed under the name Apteryx rowi (Okarito brown kiwi). RNAcentral describes it as "lncRNA (ENSARWG00000013598.1)". The record is from RNAcentral. Lineage: Eukaryota; Metazoa; Chordata; Aves; Apterygiformes; Apterygidae.